RNAcentral lists this long non-coding RNA (826 nucleotides) under Bos indicus x Bos taurus (hybrid cattle). RNAcentral describes it as "lncRNA (ENSBIXG00005001712.1)". The record is from RNAcentral. Lineage: Eukaryota; Metazoa; Chordata; Mammalia; Artiodactyla; Bovidae.
GUUGAGUCCUUUUGAUGACAGCAUGAGUUCUGAGAACAAAGCUUCCAGCCUGUGUAAUGAGAGCUCAGAGCCUGAAAUAGCUGCUCUUCGCAUGCAAACACAGGGCCUGAGCCGAAGCUUUGACAGCGUGUUUUUGUCAUUUGUAAAACUCAGAGGGUUCCUCCAAGACCACAGAACAGCAGGGGCUGGCUGAGCGUGCAGGACCUGCUGGGUGCGGUGGCGACAGAGCUGAGCUGCCUGGAGGUCAGCACCGACGAGAGACGACCGGCCUGGACAGACAGGUGCGGGAGGCCUAUAAGUCGGCAGAGGCAACAGCGGAGGUGUGUCUUUCAUGAAGGCAAGCCCUCCACCCGGCCUUGCGUCCAGUUGGCCUCUUGUCGGAUCCCCUUUAGAAGUCAACCAGUUGUCCGGCCGUCCAGCCCAGGCUAUCCUCAUGUUCAUGUAUGAACCUGCUUCUGAACUCUGCAGCCCAGAGAAGACUCGGCAAAGCUGGGGGGCCACUGUGCCUGCAGGCUCCCCUGCUGGGGGGCCACCCCUCAGCCCACCUAAGGAGUUCCACACAGGGCAUGGUCCAGUCUUUGUGUCAGCCAGCCUUCACCAGUACCCCUCAUCCCUCCCACCAUGCGGAUCAUCAGAAUCAAAGCCCAGGGUCGGGCUGGAAUCCUGUACUUCCCUUUUCCCCCAAAAUAUCUACCUUGAAAGAAUUUUUGCAAAUCAAAUCAUAAGCGCAUUAGAGUUAAUUAUAUACUAUUAAAUUCACUGCUGUGGCAAAGCCUUGGAAAAUGAAGAAUCUUUUUCUAAUUAAAAUAAACAAAUUUCAGUUCAC